GACGAACGCUGGCGGCGUGCUUAACACAUGCAAGUCGAACGGAAAGGCCUCUUUCGGGGGGUACUCGAGUGGCGAACGGGUGAGUAACACGUGAGUAACCUGCCCUUGACUUUGGGAUAACUUCAGGAAACUGGGGCUAAUACCGGAUAGGAGCUCCUGCUGCAUGGUGGGGGUUGGAAAGUUUCGGCGGUUGGGGAUGGACUCGCGGCUUAUCAGCUUGUUGGUGGGGUAGUGGCUUACCAAGGCUUUGACGGGUAGCCGGCCUGAGAGGGUGACCGGCCACAGUGGGACUGAGAUACGGCCCAGACUCCUACGGGAGGCAGCAGUGGGGAAUAUUGCACAAUGGGUGGAAGCCUGAUGCAGCAACGCCGUGUGCGGGAUGACGGCCUUCGGGUUGUAAACCGCUUUCGCUCAUGACGAAGCUUUGUGUGACGGUAGUGGGUAAAGAAGCACCGGCUAACUACGUG
Molecule: ribosomal RNA, 467 nt
Filed under: uncultured bacterium
Lineage: Bacteria
Description: partial 16S ribosomal RNA
Rfam family: Bacterial small subunit ribosomal RNA
Source: RNAcentral